Molecule: long non-coding RNA, 1182 nt
Filed under: Salvator merianae (Argentine black and white tegu)
Lineage: Eukaryota; Metazoa; Chordata; Lepidosauria; Squamata; Teiidae
Description: lncRNA (ENSSMRG00000012734.1)
Source: RNAcentral
GAUGAUGAUGUCACGAACCCAGCGGCCGUCGUUGAGUGACAGAAGGGGUGUGUGUGUGUUGGUGCGGACAGAGAACUAUACGGACGGUGGGUUGCCCUGCCCCUUCCAACGAGAGAGGGCCGCCGCGUCUUGUCUGCUAUAGAUACGUAUCUAUAGCGCUGGCCUGGAACGUAAAUAUCAGUCGGUGAGUGGCGGCGGCAUCGAUAGCUCGGCUUUCAGCUUCAGGGGCUGGAGAAAAAAGCCAAAGCUGAAGAGUGCAGAGUCAUUAGUGGGAGGAGAAUUCCUCCCAGACUCAGAUUGGACGAUUGUAAUGAGGUUCCAUGUUUAGCCGCCAUUUCGGAAGCAGAACCUAUAAGGAAAAGAUCAAAUCAGAACAUCCCAUGCUGACUGUAUCCAAGGAAUCCAUCCCAGAUCCUGCGUCAUCUUUCUCAUUAACUACCUUACUGAGACUCCACCCAGAGACCCACAGACCUCAAAGGAAAACUGAAUCAUAUCAAAGCAUGAAAGUAGUCUUACUCUUCAGCCUUUUUUUUCUAAUUUACGCUUACUUGGAAUGAAAUAGCCAUGAACAUAAUCGAAAUAUAGUCUAUUUGCCUCUUGUUCUUUGGGAGGGCUUAUUUCUACCACAAAAAUACAAAACUUAGAUCACAAAGAAAGUUAGAAGGAAGCAGUUUUUGAUUGCAUCCACAAAAGGCAGGUCAAAAGCAGCUAAGAUGUGAUAAUAUCUACAUACCAGUGCCUUAAUCCACAUUAAAGGCCUUAAAAUGCAUUUCCAAAAGGCAUCUUCUGUUCUUUAAUAUUGAUUAUAGGCAGAAUGGGAACACUACUGUCCGCAUGCUACUACUUCCAAGCUACGUUUUAGUAUGUGUUGAUGCAGCCUUUGCUUUCUAGUGGGGAAAAGUACAGGAAAGUGUUAUUCCCAGCACCUCCUCACAGAUAUAAACAACAAGGAGACAUCAGAAACACUCCCCUUGCAAAUACCAUAAACUCUGGUAUCAAACCCACAAAAAACAAGGGACAGAUGGAAUAGAGUAAUUAAGAUUAAUGGCUAUGUUCAUCUCAGGAUGGCUUGAUACAGUUGUGUUUGUAGUGUACCUACUGAAAAUAUAAUGCUGAUGCAAACAUAUUUGAAAAGCAUACCAGGAGUAUAAUAAAAAAGUGCCUUGAUAGUUGGUUCUGUCA